This 5664-nucleotide long non-coding RNA is filed under the name Homo sapiens (human). RNAcentral's name for it is "HSALNT0296508". Lineage: Eukaryota; Metazoa; Chordata; Mammalia; Primates; Hominidae. The record is from RNAcentral.
GCCCCUCCCUGUAAGUUAAGUCCCUGCAGCCACAGCUGUGGGAGAAGCGUACUUGUAGAAACAAGGCCAGUUCAGCAUCAGAAGGCAGAGGCAGCAUCACCGACUCUCAGCCAUGGAAUGGAUGGAGAGCACAGGGCUCAGGGACAGAACAGGCCAGGUGGAAAGAGGAGAGGCAUGGCGGGGGGCUGAGGCCCCUAAAUUUUGGCCCUAGGGAAAGAGACGAGGGCAGUUGGUCCAGUUUUGAUGGGUAUGGGGAAGGGACUGUAUUAGUAAGCACAGGGGGAGAGGAUGCCAAUAGGCACCCCAGAGGUGACAGGACAGUCUGAACCCCCACCCUGGCAGAAGGGAGCUUGACAGCUCUGGGGCUCUCUGGGAAUGUCACUGCUAAAAUGGAUAUUUAUAUAUAUAUUAACCAUUCAUGGGAGGGCAGGGGCAGGGCCUGGGGUGGGAUCGGAGGAUCUGGCAUCGCAUCCUGUAGCUGGUCAUGCCUACCUGAGAGGCCUGGAGGAAACCAAAGUGGUUUAAAACAUUUAAGUGUGCUUCUUCAGAAAAAGUUUUGUCUCCCCACGCCACUUUUUAUUUAAACUAAAAAUAAUUUCUUGUUAGUGACUGCUUUGCAUUUAGACAGAGUGAUUGAUAACAAUUUAUAGGGGAUUUUGUUGGGGUGAAAAGCACACUGACAUGCCACCGCUGUUUAUUGGAGUGCGAUUUCACGUGCAAAUGCAAAAACAUUAAAAAUGUUAUUGCUCCUUAUGUGCAUAUGCGGCAGCGCUCCUCGAGGGGGCACCAGCUGCGGGAAGUCUGUUCCUUGCAGACCCCUGACCACGCGAUGAAUGAAUAAAGUACACUGACACACAGAUAUUCUGCUCUGCCAGUCCAGCUGAGGGUCCAAGCCCCUUACAGGCUCCCUGCUGAGCCCUGUAAACAGUUGCGACUCGGCAGGGAGCCUGUAAGCACCUGGGACCCUCAGAAUAUCUGUGUGUCAGCGUACUUUAUUCACCGGUCAUUGGGUCAGGGGUCUGCAAGGGACAGACUCCCCACAGCUGGUGACCCCUCGAGAGGAGCCCUGCCCCCAGCUGGUGCCCCAUGUGAGGCGCUGUGUGAGGAACUGUGUGAGGAAUGCUGUGAAGGAAACGCGACGAACCGCCCGAAAACGAAGACAGACAGAACAGCAUGUGGAGACUCACACAGUGAAAUUUUCCUCCAAGAAGUACUGCAUGAACAUACCAGGAAAACCAAAAGAAUUCACAGGACCUUUGAAAGAAGUGGCUUGCCGCUGCAAACUCCAUGAGACAGCUGAAAAACUGGCAAAGCGGCUGAGAUCUUUGAACUCCCUUUGAACUUUGAGAAUGGUGACUGGAAGAUGACAAUUCAUGUUGUUUUCAGGAAAGCUAUGACCGAGAAACCAAGGAACUCACUAUCUUGUCCUCUUGGAUGCCAGCUAUAAAUUGAAUCAAGUUGGACACCGGAAUUUUGACCACUUUCCACCUUUCUAUCGUGGUCAGGUAAGUUGCAUAAGCCUGUGAUAUGCAUGAUUUUGGACUUUGUUCCUUUUCACACUGGCCUACAGUUGAGGUACCAGAUUCUCAUACAUCAAUAAUUAAAGUAGUAAUCACUUAUAUGAGAUGUUGAAAUGUACUCCCUUCAAGAAAGGUGACAUUUUCAGCUGUUUUCUUAAUGGGAAAACAUUAUUAGUGGGAGCAAACUACAGAUCCUUCAAUGAGAUUAGUGUGAAAGCAGAAGAAAUGUGAAGGCAGUGGCUAUUUGAGUGACAUGAAAAUAUUCUAAGGGGCACAAAAGCAGAAAGGGAAAGCCGGUAACUUCACAGAAAUCUCAUUGCCUCCAUAGUUUUUCCCAACAUCAGGAAGUGCCUUUCUACAAACCUGUGGCAUGAACUUAACAGAAAGAAUUGAAAUUUCUACUUGUUGGAUAACUACACAGUUACACAACAAACAAGAGGCUAUACAUUUCCAUGUGGAGACUAAUAUUACAACUUAAUCCUUUUGGCAAUCAGAGAUGGGCAAUUAUGUUUCCAACUUAGAAAGCUUUCUAUUUUCAGGGCUUUCUUCAUACUUAAAUCUGGUAACCAAGCCUAUGAAAAGAAGUUUUAAAUACAGCAGGUAUAAAUGUCUGUAGGAAAAGGCUUGAGCAGUGUAGGUACCAUCUCAGAAUUAUAAGAGGGUGGACAGAACUUCUUUUGUUAAAUACUAUUAUCUUAACCCAAGAGAACUGUCAAUAGAGAGCUGAGUUUCUGGAUUAUGGGUGCUUCCCUCCUAUGUCUUAAGAUUAGCCAGCAGCAUGCAAGGAAUUGGAAGCAUGUCCUCACAUGACACAGCAAGAAGGGUGACAAGAUCCUAUUUGCGUUUGAAAAAGUUUACUCUUGCUGCUGCAUACAAAAUGGAAUGUUAAGAUGCAAGAAUGGAAUCAAGAAGGAGGCUCUUAGAAUAAUGGGUAAGAGUUAAUGGUGGCUUUGACCUGAGUGGAGGCUGUGGAGGUAGACAGAAGUGAGAACAUUUGCUGAUGCUGUAGGUAGGGGAAUGGUGAGGUGUUAUGGAUGGACUUGUGUCACUCUCAAAUUUAUAUAUUGAAGUUCUAACCCCUAGUACUUCAGAAUGUUACUAUAUUUGAAGACAGCAUUCUUAAAAAGGCUAUUAAGUUAAAAUGAGGUCAUAGGGUUGUCCCUAAUCCAAUAUAAUAGGUUUCUUCAUGAGAAGAGGAGAUUCGGUCACAGGCAUGUACAGAAGAAGACUGUGUGAAGACACAGAAGAAGUUAUCUACAAACCAACGAGAGAGGCUUCAGAAGAAACCAACAUUGUUGACACCCUGAUCUUGGAUUUCUAGACUCAGGAAUUAUGAGAAAAUAAAUUUUUAUUGUUUAAGCCACCCAGUCUGUGGUACUUUCUUAUGGCAUCCCUGGCUAAUGAAUACAGGAGGCAGCUAAAGGAAUUGAGGAUUAUGCCUAGUUUUGUGGCUUGAGAAAUGGGGUAUUUAGAGGUCUCAUUACCAGGACGAGUAAGAUUGAGGAAAGAACAUGUUUGGAAUCUAUAUGGGAAUGUUGGUGGUGGGAAAAACUGAGAGGUAAAUGUAGUAGUUUAUGUGUGGGAUGCCUAUGCACAUGCAAGAAAAGAUAUCAAGGAGGCAAUGGUAUGUGCAAAUCUGGAAAUUUUAUAAAUUCUUAUGCAGAUGACUUAAAUAAAUAAAUUUGAACCCUGUCAUCUAUUCUCAAUCCCUUCUGGAUUUCAACCAAAAGGGCUGUUAUAUGGGGCUAGCAUCAUAUAUCAAUGUCAGUAAGUUAGAUUGUCCAUUACUUUGUAUUGAAUGGAACUAUGUGCUGCAUGAUUUCUGUGUCUCUAAAAGUCAACAGACCUUGGGCAGACACAGAAGUUUAAAUGUCACCCUGAAAAACCACUCUAAAUUAGGAGGCAGUUGCGACAUUCUAAACAAAUUUAGUAGAUUACAUAUCAUGAGAUAUGGCUUUGGGUUCAAACUCUACCCUUUUUAGAUUAGUGUUCUUGGAUCAUAAUCUCUGAGACUUAGAUUUUUCGUUCAUUUUAUAGUGAAUCUCAUUAGGGCUACUUCACUUGACUUAGGGUAUUUUUGGAAUUUUCAGGGUGAGUUUUUUUGUUGCAUGAUUGAGGAGUUCUAGUUAUUAGAAGCUCUGUGAAGUCCUGCAAAAUGAUUUGACACAAAGCCUUCUUGGAUGUGUACUUACAGUUGCACAACUUGAAAAUAUUCUGUACAUUACAAGUGGGGUUAUAGUCACACACACACGCACACAUUUAACACAUUUGUGUAUUAAUUUUACUUCAGGACUGUAAAGUGUUACAAAAUUCUAGCUAUUAAAAGAGGGCAUUGCACCAAGUUAUGUUGUGUUGAGAACCACUGACCUAUAAUAUCUUUUUAUUGCCUUUAUUAUUUUGAAUGGACACAUAAUUAUACAAUUUAUGGGGCACAGUGUGAUAUUUUGAUGCAUGUAUAUCAUGAAUAGUGAUCAAAUCAGGGUAACUAGCAUAUCCAUCACCUCAACCAUUUAUCAUUUCUUUGUACAUGGAUAAAGAAAAUGUGGUGUAUCCAUUUGUCUGUUGACAAACACUUAGGUUUGGCCAUUGUGAAUAGUACUGCAAUAACCAUGGGAGUGCUUUCAUAUUGCUUUCCUUUCAAUAUGAUAUAUAUCUAUAUAUCUAUAUAUCUAUAUCUAUAUAUAUAUACACUCACAUACACACAUAUGGGGGAUAUAGAAAUGGAAGAAAGAAAGAAGAUCACAUUUUUACCUAACGCUUUCUUCUUUUCUAUUGUUACUUUCUUUAUAUUUUUAUCUUUGAAGCUCAGAUUUAUCAUAAAUGUUGUAUACAAUUUUAAAUAUUUUCCUUUUCCUAAUUGUUUGUGGUAGCAAAGUAACAUUCUGCUUUUAAGGUCUUCUUACCAGAUGUGAAAUAUUCCCAAGUAUUCCCAAAUGAAGCAAAACUUUUCUUGAAAACCUGUGCCCUAAAUAGAAUCAAGUAACUAAAAAUUAAACACAGCCCAUAAAAAUUUUUUGCUUCAUGUUAUAAAUGCCAGUACAAAAAAUAAAUAGAAGAUUAAGUUGCUAUAAUCCAAUUUUUAAUAGCCUUUUUUUUGUAUGAUGCAAUGGUUUGAAUGUUUUUCUCUCCAGAUCUCAUGUUGAAAACUAAUCCUCAAUGCAGCAGUAUUGAAAGGUGAGGCCUUUAAGAGGUGAUUGGGUUAUGAGGACUCUGCUUAAAUAAAUUGAAGCAUCAUUUAUGGAUUAAUGAAUUAGUGGAUUAUCACAGGAAUGGGACUGGUGGACCUUUAAGAGGAAUAUAUAUACACACACAUAUAUAUUUGUUCCAUUGAUCUAAGUUGGAAGGGAAGGUUUAGUAAGAAAUACGUAGUAUAAUAACUAACUGGUGGAGCCCUCUGAUGACUGAUGAUUCUGGCAGGUGAUUUUAUCUGCUCUAUAAUGUCAAAAUUUAAAAAUCAUAAUUAUGAAAAUUUUAACUAUAAAAUGUAAUACACUAUAAAAUACAGUUUUAGAUUUAUUCUGGUACCUCGUAAGUUUAUUGGGGUAGACUAUAUAAGACUAUAAAUCUUUAAUCUAUAAGCAUUAGAUUUUGGUCACAGUUUUGGCUAAAUAUUUAAUUUUUAAAAGAUUAAGCUAAAAGGUGUAUUAUUUGGUACUACACUCAUUGCUAUUGCUAUUAUUCUUUUGCUGCUAGAAGUUGAAAAGUUUGUUUCCUUAUUGAGAAUAUAAAUAAAACAAAUUACUUUGUGUUAACUUUCAAUAUAGACCAGGUCUUUAUGCUAUGUUUCUUGGGCAGAGAAGAGGAGGUCUUACCUGGAUUAUGUUGCACAAAACAAACAAAUGAAAAAUAAUGUAAUAGCCAAGCUCCCCCCUUGACCCUGCAAAUAGCUUAUAGAAGUAGCCUGAGAGUAUCAUAUUAUAAUUAUUCUGCUUAAUUUGCUCUUUAUUUAGAUUUAAAAUACAUCUUUCAUACAUUGUUUAAAAGGAAAAAGGAAUCAUGUCAAAAUGUUUCAGGAAAUGAUUUAAGUUAGAUAUAAAGAACAUAGUUCUGAUUUUGAAGUGUUAGUGGAACUCAAACAGAAAUGAUUAGUGCUCUCUUAAGAUCAUGACAUGAUUCUUAAAGUGGCUAUUUCAGAGCCUAGAAA